GAUGAACGCUGGCGGCGUGCUUAACACAUGCAAGUCGAACGAAGCGUUUUGGAUGGAUUUCUUCGGAUUGAUAUCCUUAGUGACUGAGUGGCGGACGGGUGAGUAACGCGUGGGUAACCUGCCUCAUACAGGGGGAUAACAGUUAGAAAUGGCUGCUAAUACCGCAUAAGCGCACAGUACCGCAUGGUACCGUGUGAAAAACUCCGGUGGUAUGAGAUGGACCCGCGUCUGAUUAGCUAGUUGGCAGGGUAACGGCCUACCAAGGCGACGAUCAGUAGCCGACCUGAGAGGGUGAUCGGCCACAUUGGGACUGAGACACGGCCCAAACUCCUACGGGAGGCAGCAGUGGGGAAUAUUGCACAAUGGGGGAAACCCUGAUGCAGCGACGCCGCGUGAAGGAAGACGUAUUUCGGUAUGUAAACUUCUAUCAGCAAGGAAGAUGAUGACGGUACUUGACUAAGAAGCCCCGGCUAACUACGUGCCAGCAGCCGCGGUAAUACGUAGGGGGCAAGCGUUAUCCGGAUUUACUGGGUGUAAAGGGAGCGUAGGCGGCCAUGCAAGUCAGAAGUGAAAGCCCGGGGCUCAACCCCGGGACUGCUUUUGAAACUGUAAGGCUAGAUUGCCGGAGAGGUAAGCGGAAUUCCUAGUGUAGCGGUGAAAUGCGUAGAUAUUAGGAGGAACACCAGUGGCGAAGGCGGCUUACUGGACGGUGAAUGACGCUGAGGCUCGAAAGCGUGGGGAGCAAACAGG
This 750-nucleotide ribosomal RNA is filed under the name uncultured Lachnospiraceae bacterium. Its description in RNAcentral is "bacterial SSU rRNA". It matches the Rfam family "Bacterial small subunit ribosomal RNA", at positions 28 to 776 of the family's 1533-position model. The record is from RNAcentral. Lineage: Bacteria; Bacillati; Bacillota; Clostridia; Lachnospirales; Lachnospiraceae.